RNAcentral lists this ribosomal RNA (602 nucleotides) under Haemophilus influenzae PittII. Its description in RNAcentral is "partial 23S ribosomal RNA". It matches the Rfam family "Bacterial large subunit ribosomal RNA", at positions 2334 to 2925 of the family's 2925-position model. The record is from RNAcentral. Lineage: Bacteria; Pseudomonadati; Pseudomonadota; Gammaproteobacteria; Pasteurellales; Pasteurellaceae.
AAAAAGAUAAAAAAAAAAAAAAAUUAUUAUAUAACGGGAAAAAAAAAAAAAAAGAGAGAGAAGAGGGAAAAAAAAAAAUGGUAAAAGAAGUUUUCGGGGGUUUUAAAAAGAAAGGGGCCUCUCCCCAAAGGAUAAAAGGGUUUCCCGGGGUAACCGGGUAAUACCCCCCCAAGAUUUAUUUGGGGGGGGUUUUGGCCCCUGGUUUUGGGUUUAUCCUUUCGGGGGGGGAAGGGGGUCCCAAGGGUAGGGUGUUCGCCAUUUAAAGUGGUACGCGAGCUGGGGUUUUAGAACGUCGUGAGACAGUUUCGGUCCCUAUCUGCCGUGGGCGUAGGGAGAAUUGGUUGGGGCUGCUCCUAGUACGAGAGGACCGGAGUGGACGCACCACUGGUGUUCCGGGUUGUGUCGCCCAGACGCAUUGCCGGGUAGCUAAGUGCGGAAGAGAUAAGUGCUGAAAGCAUCUAAGCACGAAACUUGCCAAGAGAUGAGUUCUCCCAGAUUAUAAAUCUGUAAGGGUUGUUUAAGACGAAGACGUAGAUAGGUCUGGUGUGUAAGUGAUGUGAGUCAUUGAGCUAACAGAUACUAAUUGCCCGAGAGGCUUAACU